AAAGUGCAUCUCUCAGAACAUGGAAAGAGAGAAUGACUGAAAAUGCAGAGUGUAAGAAAAUGCUGGGAAGACUAAAUGGGAAAAAUGAGGCCAUAACAGAACAAUGGGACAGUUUUUGUUCUUCUGUGUCUACUGUCUAAUGUGGCAUUUGAUGCUUUGAUCAAGACAUCUUGAGAUGUACAGUGGUUGAUUUGUAAU
Long non-coding RNA from Thalassophryne amazonica, 198 nucleotides. RefSeq lists it as uncharacterized. The transcript has 3 exons. Lineage: Eukaryota; Metazoa; Chordata; Actinopteri; Batrachoidiformes; Batrachoididae. The record is from RefSeq and is a predicted model, not a curated record.